AAGCGAGCUACUGGACAAUUCCUGACGCUGAGGCUCGAAGGCUAGGGUAGCGAAAGGGAUUAGAUACCCCUGUAGUCCUAGCAGUAAACGGUGCACGCUUGGUGUGAGGGGAAUCGACCCCCCUUGUGCCGGAGCUAACGCGUUAAGCGUGCCGCCUGGGAAGUACGGUCGCAAGACUAAAACUCAAAGAAAUUGACGGGGACCCGCACAAGCGGUGGAGUAUGUGGCUUAAUUCGAUGCAACGCGAAGAACCUUACCAAGGCUUGACAUGCAUCUCUAAACACGUGAAAGCGUGUGACCCUUCGGGGAAUUUGCACAGGUGCUGCAUGGCCGUCGUCAGCUCGUGUCGUGAGAUGUUGGGUUAAGUCCCGCAACGAGCGCAACCCUUGUGAUUAGUUGCCAGCACGUUAAGGUGGGAACUCUAGUCAGACUGCCCGGAUCAACUGGGAGGAAGGUGGGGACGACGUCAGGUCAGUAUGGCCCUUACGCCUUGGGCUGCACACGUACUACAAUGCCCAGCACAAUGAGAACCGAUACCGCGAGGUGGAGGAAAUCUGUAAAACUGGGCUCAGUUCGGAUUGGAGGCUGCAACUCGCCUCCAUGAAGUUGGAAUCGCUAGUAAUGGGGCAUCAUCUACGGCCCCGUGAAUACGUUCCCGGGUCUUGUACACACCGCCCGUCACAUCAU
RNAcentral lists this ribosomal RNA (687 nucleotides) under uncultured Verrucomicrobium sp. RNAcentral describes it as "bacterial SSU rRNA". It matches the Rfam family "Bacterial small subunit ribosomal RNA", at positions 719 to 1405 of the family's 1533-position model. The record is from RNAcentral. Lineage: Bacteria; Pseudomonadati; Verrucomicrobiota; Verrucomicrobiia; Verrucomicrobiales; Verrucomicrobiaceae.